AUCCUUCGGGAUUAGUGGCGGACGGGUGAGUAACACGUGGGAACGUGCCCUUUGGUUCGGAACAACUCAGGGAAACUUGAGCUAAUACCGGAUGUGCCCUUUGGGGGAAAGAUUUAUCGCCAUUGGAGCGGCCCGCGUCUGAUUAGCUAGUUGGUGAGGUAAAGGCUCACCAAGGCGACGAUCAGUAGCUGGUCUGAGAGGAUGAUCAGCCACAUUGGGACUGAGACACGGCCCAAACUCCUACGGGAGGCAGCAGUGGGGAAUCUUGCGCAAUGGGCGAAAGCCUGACGCAGCCAUGCCGCGUGAAUGAUGAAGGUCUUAGGAUUGUAAAAUUCUUUCACCGGGGACGAUAAUGACGGUACCCGGAGAAGAAGCCCCGGCUAACUUCGUGCCAGCAGCCGCGGUAAUACGAAGGGGGCUAGCGUUGCUCGGAAUUACUGGGCGUAAAGGGAGCGUAGGCGGACUGUUAAGUUAGAGGUGAAAGCCCAGGGCUCAACCUUGGAAUUGCCUUUGAUACUGGCAGUCUUGAGUACGGAAGAGGUAUGUGGAACUCCGAGUGUAGAGGUGAAAUUCGUAGAUAUUCGGAAGAACACCAGUGGCGAAGGCGACAUACUGGUCCGUUACUGACGCUGAGGCUCGAAAGCGUGGGGAGCAAACAGGAUUAGAUACCCUGGUAGUCCACGCCGUAAACGAUGAGUGCUAGUUGUCGGCAUGCAUGCAUGCCGGUGACGCAGCUAACGCAUUAAGCACUCCGCCUGGGGAGUACGGUCGCAAGAUUAAACUCAAAGGAAUGACGGA
This 798-nucleotide ribosomal RNA is filed under the name uncultured Caulobacter sp. Its description in RNAcentral is "bacterial SSU rRNA". It matches the Rfam family "Bacterial small subunit ribosomal RNA", at positions 81 to 917 of the family's 1533-position model. Lineage: Bacteria; Pseudomonadati; Pseudomonadota; Alphaproteobacteria; Caulobacterales; Caulobacteraceae. The record is from RNAcentral.